GUUGGCCGUUCCUCGCAGGGUCUUUAUUUUUUCCUCCUUUUGCGGAGGGGCUAUUGUGUCCGGGGAGUUGGCCUUUCUGGACUUGACACAGCUAGCUCAGAGCAAAGCCAAGAUGGGAAAGAGGCCAGUGUCUUUUUCCACUAUGCCUUUCCAAACUUGAGUCUUUGCUGGCCUUAGCUUCUGUGGUCUGCCUUUUCCCUCAGGAGGUGAGUAGGUUUUGAAGGCUUGGAAAUGAUGAGCUGUGCGGCCAGCACAGCUGUGCAGCAGGAGGAAUCCAGUUCCCCCAGCCCUCCCUCCCUCCAUGUGUGGCUCUUUUUGGGCUGUUGAGUUUGUCUCUCUCGGAAGCUGUUUCCGAGCUGGCAUUUGCCUGUCCUGCGAGUUGG
RNAcentral lists this long non-coding RNA (383 nucleotides) under Marmota monax (woodchuck). Lineage: Eukaryota; Metazoa; Chordata; Mammalia; Rodentia; Sciuridae. The record is from RNAcentral.